UUGUGAAAUGACUUGAGAG
This 19-nucleotide small nuclear RNA is filed under the name Arabidopsis thaliana (thale cress). Its description in RNAcentral is "snRNA_07248". The record is from RNAcentral. Lineage: Eukaryota; Viridiplantae; Streptophyta; Magnoliopsida; Brassicales; Brassicaceae.